Molecule: ribosomal RNA, 253 nt
Filed under: uncultured bacterium
Lineage: Bacteria
Description: partial 16S ribosomal RNA
Rfam family: Bacterial small subunit ribosomal RNA
Source: RNAcentral
UACGAAGGGGGCUAGCGUUGCUCGGAAUCACUGGGCGUAAAGCGCACGUAGGCGGAUCUUUAAGUCAGGGGUGAAAUCCUGGAGCUCAACUCCAGAACUGCCUUUGAUACUGGGGAUCUCGAGUCCGGGAGAGGUGAGUGGAACUGCGAGUGUAGAGGUGAAAUUCGUAGAUAUUCGCAAGAACACCAGUGGCGAAGGCGGCUCACUGGCCCGGUACUGACGCUGAGGCGCGAAAGCCAGGGGAGCAAACGGG